Long non-coding RNA from Megalobrama amblycephala (Wuchang bream), 918 nucleotides. RefSeq lists it as uncharacterized. Lineage: Eukaryota; Metazoa; Chordata; Actinopteri; Cypriniformes; Xenocyprididae. The record is from RefSeq and is a predicted model, not a curated record. The transcript is spliced from 3 exons.
CAUCAGCAACCAGACUCAACAUCUGGACAUCACUCACCUCUGUCACACAUGUUCAGUCCACUGUUAUGGUCCUACUGAAGCUGUGAUCCGAUUGGUCCUCUCUGCUCUGGUGGGCGUGGCUACUGUCAUUCUUAUGGUUUAUGAAAUCAGAUCCAGAAGAGCUGAACGAGAUCAAGCACAUAUUCACACAUCAGGAAGUAUUGAAAUCUAAAGCAGAACGCUGAACUUCUUCAAGUGUUUUUGUCAUUAUAAAUACUGAUGAUUAUUUGAGCUGCUCUCUCUUUCAGUGUCAGAUUUUUUAAAUCUUAUUUGUAAGGCUUUAUUUAUAUUUCUCUCUGAUACAAAAAAUAAUAAUAAAGAGUAACACCCGAGAUAGCAAGCAAUGAUUGAAAUAAUGUUAAAUCAAUGUUAAUGUGACAAUGUUAACUGCAUUGAAUCAAUAUCACUUUUGUACCCGCAAUUAAUGUUGGAAUUUCAACAGAAAAUUGAUGGUAAUGGCAUUGAAUCAAUGUUUACACUCUCAGAAAAUGAAACACAACUACAACUGACUUAAAGCCACACAGCCUGAAAUCAAAUGAAGAUAAAAGAAGAUCUCUCAAGAUCUCAGCAGAAGCUCUUUUUGAGAAUUAACAGAGGUUUAGAUGUUGAUGUUUUAUUGAAAUUAUUUGGUCACCAUUAGUGUGAUCAGUGUUUCCUUUAGUUGGGCAGUUUGACAGCAGCUGCCGAGGACGGGGGGACGCGACUCCACCUGUCAGUCACCAUGAAACACUUGCAAUUUCCCUGUUAUAAUAAUCUUUAUAAUAUUUGAAGAGUUUGGUUCCAAAAUGCAAUAACUCCAUUUUGACUAAUUUGAGUAAAAAGGUGUUUUCUUUACCAAGAAAGCGGCAAGAUGAAAACCACUAUUUUCUGUUUCAAACU